Molecule: RNA transcript, 2370 nt
Organism: Globicephala melas (long-finned pilot whale)
Lineage: Eukaryota; Metazoa; Chordata; Mammalia; Artiodactyla; Delphinidae
Gene: USH1C
Gene name: USH1 protein network component harmonin
Source: RefSeq, a predicted model, not a curated record
GGGGCAACCAAGCACCGGCGCCCGAAGGAGCUAGUUGUGUAGCAAGCGGUUCUAUCUGGCUCAGCCAUGGACCGGAAGGUGGCCCGAGAAUUCCGUCACAAGGUGGAUUUUCUGGUUGAAAAUGAUGCAGAAAAGGACUAUCUCUACGAUGUGUUGCGGAUGUACCACCAAACCAUGGACGUGGCUGUGCUUGUGGGAGACCUGAAGCUGGUCAUCAACGAGCCCAGCCGCCUGCCCCUGUUUGACGCCAUCCGGCCCCUGAUCCCACUGAAGCACCAGGUGGAGUACGACCAGCUAACCCCCCGGCGCUCCAGGAAGCUGAAGGAGGUGCGUCUGGACCGGCUGCACCCCGAAGGCCUCGGCCUCAGCGUGCGUGGUGGCCUCGAGUUCGGCUGCGGGCUCUUCAUCUCCCACCUCAUCAAAGGUGGCCAGGCAGACAGCGUCGGGCUCCAGGUAGGGGAUGAGAUCGUCCGGAUCAAUGGGUAUUCCAUCGCCUCCUGCACCCAUGAGGAGGUCAUCAACCUCAUCCGCACCAAGAAGACUGUGUCCAUCAAAGUGAGACACAUCGGCCUGAUCCCUGUGAAGAGUUCUCCCGAUGAGCCCCUCAAAUGGCAGUAUGUGGAUCAGUUUGUGUCGGAAUCUGGGGGUGGGCAGACCAGCCUGGGCUCCCCCAGCAGUCAGGAAAACAAGGAGAAGAAGGUCUUCAUCAGCCUGGUGGGCUCCCGGGGCCUUGGCUGCAGCAUUUCCAGCGGCCCCAUCCAGAAACCUGGCAUCUUCAUCAGCCACGUGAAGCCUGGCUCCCUGUCUGCUGAGGUGGGGCUGGAGCCAGGGGACCAGAUUGUCGAAGUCAAUGGCAUCGACUUCUCCAACCUGGACCACAAGGAGGCCGUGAACGUGCUGAAGAGUAGCCGCAGCCUGACCAUCUCCAUCGUAGCCGGAGCUGGCCGGGAGCUGUUCAUGACAGACCGGGAGCGGCUGGAAGAGUUCCGGCAGCGCGAGCUGCAGCGACAGGAGCUUCUGAUGCAGAAGCGGCUGGCGAUGGAAUCCAACAAGAUCCUCCGGGAGCAGCAGGAGAUGGAGCGGCAAAGGAAAAAGGAAAUUGCCCAGAAGGCAGCAGAGGAAAAUGAGAGAUACCGGAAGGAGAUGGAACAGAUCGUGGAGGAGGAAGAGAAUUUUAAGAAGCAGUGGGAAGAAGACUGGGGCUCAAAGGAACAGCUCCUGUCGUCUAAAACCAUCACCACCGAGUUGCACCCAGUACCCCUUCGCAAGCCAAAGUAUGAUCUGGGAGUGGACCCCGAGUUUGACCCAGCAGAUGACCUGGACGGAGGCACGGAAAAGCAGGGAGAGCAGGUUUGCGGCCCCCGCUUCGCUCCCUGGCCUUGCUGCUCUGUUUGCCCUGCCCGCCUCCUCCUGCCAGCCCUGCAGACACCUAGCUCUGAGGGUCCAAUAUGUGGUAGGGACUCCUGGAGUCCGGGAAGCUGCUCCAAGCCCCGGCUUGGUCCAAGCACUGCAUACAAUACCUUAAGGACAAGACUCACGGCCAGGCUGAAAUGUCAGCUGGAACUGCUGGUUCAAAUAUUUAAUACUACCCAAGCCUAAGUUCUUUCUCUGCUGCUCUGGCCUCUCCCCCAAGACUCCCUAGACCUCCCCAACAUCCAGCAACUAGGAGGAUAGUGCUGGGUCUAGCAGGGGGCUUUCUAGAUCCUGUUCCAGAGCUCAGGCUGGUCAAGGGUGGGUAAUUAAGCCAUCACUUCUGGCCAGGGAGCUUCAGCCUUGAGGUAUUAGCCCAUCCGUCAUGCUGUUGCCUGGGGAAGGCAGGGGGCUGGUGAUCUGGCCUGGGUGGGGAUAUGCUUUUCUGGGGGCAGAUCUCCUGCCCACUGCUGCUUGAGCGUCCUUCCCUGAGCUGACCCUGCCAGAGCCUUCUCUUCCGCGGUUGAAAGCAGAGGACGUGGCCUGCUCUGUGAGACAAGACAGUUUUGUUCUGUCUGACAGUCGUUCUAGGCAGAGACCCAGGCUCCCUUUUGUUUCGGGUUGUUUCUUGGAUGGAGGAACCUGACGCCAGUCAGGAGAGGCCUUGUUCAAUGGGGCUUUGUGUUUGCAGACUGUGGCUGUGAUGGGGAAAAGCACAUCCUUCUACAAGGGGCUUUCUCUUUGACUUUCUGGCACUGACUGCUGAAGCCAGUGUCCUGGGGGAGGCAGCUGACAGUGGCCCGGGGCCUGGGAAUCGGGCCCUUUCUCAGGUGGUCUUUGGCCUGCUUUACAACCCAGGUGAGGCCAGCCUUUGGAUGGUUUUAUCGCUACGAUGGCAAAUUCCCAACCAUCCGGAAGGAUUUCCGGAAAUACGAGGAAGGCUUUGACCCCUACUCCAUG